This 75-nucleotide transfer RNA is filed under the name Clostridia bacterium. RNAcentral's name for it is "tRNA-Val". It matches the Rfam family "tRNA". Rfam says of the family: Transfer RNA (tRNA) molecules are approximately 80 nucleotides in length. Their secondary structure includes four short double-helical elements and three loops (D, anti-codon, and T loops). The record is from RNAcentral. Lineage: Bacteria; Bacillati; Bacillota; Clostridia.
GGGUCUGUAGCUCAGUGGGAGAGUGCCUGCUUGACACGCAGGAGGCCGUGCGUUCAAUCCGCACCAGACCCACCA